RNAcentral lists this small RNA (122 nucleotides) under Bdellovibrionales bacterium. Its description in RNAcentral is "partial 6S RNA". It matches the Rfam family "6S / SsrS RNA", at positions 58 to 168 of the family's 187-position model. Rfam says of the family: E. coli 6S RNA was the first non coding RNA to be sequenced, but its function was unknown until recently. It consists of 184 nucleotides that fold into an extended hairpin structure with a large single-stranded internal bulge. The record is from RNAcentral. Lineage: Bacteria; Pseudomonadati; Bdellovibrionota; Bdellovibrionia; Bdellovibrionales.
UGGGGGCUGUCCCUGACAAUGGUGAGCAUGCUCAUUGCGGAAUGAGAAGCCUAAAGUUGUUACCAUGGCCACCCACCUUAGCGAACCCGGGUUUACGGAUCAUCGAGCACCACAGAAUUUUU